Molecule: small RNA, 455 nt
Filed under: Alteromonas australica
Lineage: Bacteria; Pseudomonadati; Pseudomonadota; Gammaproteobacteria; Alteromonadales; Alteromonadaceae
Description: Alteromonas sp. H17 cspA thermoregulator
Rfam family: cspA thermoregulator
Source: Rfam by way of RNAcentral
CAAUCUGUGUACACUGGCCGCGCUUUAGAUAAUCAAAGCUAUUUCUACUACUGCGUUGUACCCUCUUUAUUCUUCUUUUUAAAUCGAAGUUUUAAUAGAUAUACAUUUGCGUUACUAGCUAAUACGUUAUGUCUAUUGCUUUUCGGUGAAAUUCACCAUUAUUACUUUCAUUAAAAAGGUUUAUAUUAUGUCUGAUACAGUUAACGGUACAGUUAAGUGGUUUAACGAAGAAAAAGGUUUUGGUUUCCUAACUCAAGACGGUGGCGGUAAAGAUGUAUUCGUACAUUUCCGUUCAAUCGCUUCUGACGGUUUCAAAACUCUAGCUGAAGGCCAAGCGGUAAGCUUCAGUGUAGAACAAGGUCAAAAAGGCCUUCAAGCUGCAAACGUUGUUGUUCUUUAAAUAGAACUUUAAAAUACAACGACAAAAGGCUAAGUUUUUUGCUUAGCCUUUUUAA